This 428-nucleotide ribosomal RNA is filed under the name uncultured Geobacter sp. RNAcentral's name for it is "bacterial SSU rRNA". It matches the Rfam family "Bacterial small subunit ribosomal RNA", at positions 355 to 774 of the family's 1533-position model. The record is from RNAcentral. Lineage: Bacteria; Pseudomonadati; Thermodesulfobacteriota; Desulfuromonadia; Geobacterales; Geobacteraceae.
UGGGGAAUUUUGCGCAAUGGGGGAAACCCUGACGCAGCAACGCCGCGUGAGUGAUGAAGGCCUUCGGGUCGUAAAGCUCUGUCUAGAGGAAAGAAAUGUACGGCAGCGAAUACCUGUUGUACUUGACGGUACCUCUGAAGGAAGCACCGGCUAACUCCGUGCCAGCAGCCGCGGUAAUACGGAGGGUGCGAGCGUUGUUCGGAUUUAUUGGGCGUAAAGCGCGUGUAGGCGGUUUUUUAAGUCUGAUGUGAAAGCCCCGGGCUCAACCUGGGAAGUGCAUUGGAUACUGGGAAACUUGAGUACGGGAGAGGGUAGUGGAAUUCCUAGUGUAGGAGUGAAAUCCGUAGAUAUUAGGAGGAACACCGGUGGCGAAGGCGGCUGCCUGGACCGAUACUGACGCUGAGACGCGAAAGCGUGGGGAGCAAACA